This 440-nucleotide ribosomal RNA is filed under the name uncultured bacterium. RNAcentral's name for it is "bacterial SSU rRNA". It matches the Rfam family "Bacterial small subunit ribosomal RNA", at positions 955 to 1395 of the family's 1533-position model. The record is from RNAcentral.
CUUAACGCGAAGAACCUUACCUACUCUUGACAUCCACGGAAUUUGGCAGAGAUGCCUUAGUGCCUUCGGGAACCGUGAGACAGGUGCUGCAUGGCUGUCGUCAGCUCGUGUUGUGAAAUGUUGGGUUAAGUCCCGCGACGAGCGCAACCCUUAUCCUUUGUUGCCAGCGGUUCGGCCGGGAACUCAAAGGAGACUGCCGGUGAUAAACCGGAGGAAGGUGGGGAUGACGUCAAGUCAUCAUGGCCCUUACGAGUAGGGCCACACACGUGCUACAAUGGCGUAUACAAAGAGAAGCGACCUCGCGAGAGCAAGCGGACCUCACAAAGUGCGUCGUAGUCCGGAUCGGAGUCUGCAACUCGACUCCGUGAAGUCGGAAUCGCUAGUAAUCGUGGAUCAGAAUGCCACGGUGAAUACGUUCCCGGGCCUUGUACACACCGAAG